RNAcentral lists this ribosomal RNA (559 nucleotides) under uncultured bacterium. RNAcentral's name for it is "bacterial SSU rRNA". It matches the Rfam family "Bacterial small subunit ribosomal RNA", at positions 338 to 916 of the family's 1533-position model. The record is from RNAcentral.
UCUACGGGAGGCAGCAGUGGGGAAUCUUGCACAAUGGGGGAAACCCUGAUGCAGCGAUGCCGCGUGAGUGAAGAAGGCCUUUGGGUUGUAAAACUCUUUCGUCGGGGAAGAAAAUGACUGUACCCGAAUAAGAAGGUCCGGCUAACUUCGUGCCAGCAGCCGCGGUAAUACGAAGGGACCUAGCGUAGUUCGGAAUUACUGGGCUUAAAGAGCUCGUAGGUGGUUAAAAAAGUUGAUGGUGAAAUCCCAAGGCUCAACCUUGGAACUGCCAUCAAAACUUUUUAGCUAGAGUGUGAUAGAGGUAAGUGGAAUUUCUAGUGUAGAGGUGAAAUUCGUAGAUAUUAGAAAGAACACCAAAUGCGAAGGCAACUUACUGGGUCACUACUGACACUGAGGAGCGAAAGCAUGGGUAGCGAAGAGGAUUAGAUACCCUCGUAGUCCAUGCCGUAAACGAUGUGUGCUAGACGUUGGAAAUAUAUUUUUCAGUGUCGCAGCGAAAGCAUUAAGCACACCGCCUGGGGAGUACGACCGCAAGGUUAAAACUCAAAGGAAUUGACGG